Molecule: ribosomal RNA, 436 nt
Filed under: [Eubacterium] saphenum
Lineage: Bacteria; Bacillati; Bacillota; Clostridia; Peptostreptococcales; Anaerovoracaceae
Description: bacterial SSU rRNA
Rfam family: Bacterial small subunit ribosomal RNA
Source: RNAcentral
GAUGAACGCUGGCGGCGUGCUUAACACAUGCAAGUCGAGCGAGAAACUACAUGCAGACACUUCGGUAGAAGCGAGUAGCGGAAAGCGGCGGACGGGUGAGUAACGCGUAGGCAACCUGCCCUUCACAGAGGUAUAGCCUCGGGAAACCGGGAUUAAAACCACAUAAAAUCAUAGGUUCGCAUGAACCAAAGGUCAAAGAUUUAUCGGUGAAGGGUGGGCCUGCGUCUGAUUAGCUGGUUGGUAGGGUAAAAGCCUACCAAGGCGACGAUCAGUAGCCGACCUGAGAGGGUGAUCGGCCACAUUGGAACUGAGACACGGUCCAAACUCCUACGGGAGGCAGCAGUGGGGGGUAUUGCACAAUGGGGGAAACCCUGAUGCAGCAACGCCGCGUGAGGUAUGAAGGCCUUUGGGUUGUAAGCCUCUGUCCUAGGGGAAG